This is a long non-coding RNA of Camelus dromedarius (Arabian camel), 530 nucleotides long. RefSeq lists it as uncharacterized. The transcript is spliced from 2 exons. NCBI's taxonomy places the organism in Eukaryota, Metazoa, Chordata, Mammalia, Artiodactyla, Camelidae. The record is from RefSeq and is a predicted model, not a curated record.
GCUGUCUCCCAGGGGAGGCACAGACUUCAGUCAGCACAUCCUGCCUGAGGCCGAGCAUCUGCUGGAACUGCACAAAGACCGCAGCUCAGGUGACACAGGUCACCCAGCAGCUGUGACACGGGGAUACCCCAGGUUUCCCCAGGAUUACAAACAGCUUUCCUUCUGAAGGAAAAGAACACAAAACCAGCAGAGGCCCCGCUGCCGGCUGGGCUUCUCCACCUGGAUGGCAGGAAACUUGGAAAAUACAAAGAAGUGGAAAGAAGGAAAAAAAAAUCAUCAACAAUCAAACCACCCCAAGUGAUAACUUCUGUUAAUAUUCUUGUGUAUUUCUUCCAUUUUUCCCUCAGUACUAUUUACACAGUUAUGAUCAGUCUGUAAAUAACAAUUUUAUACCCAGCUUAUUUUACGGAACAUAAAUAUUUUCCUUCGCAUGCGUCCCUUUCCAUAGAUACCAUACAUUUUCUAACUCUUCUACUGGUGCUGGCUAUUUAUUUGGAUCCAUUUUGUACUGUAAACAACACUUUGAUGAA